AUGGCGGCCGGCGCACGGGUGAGUAACACGUAUCCAACCUGCCGAUGACUCGGGGAUAGCCUUUCGAAAGAAAGAUUAAUACCCGAUGGCAUAGUUCUUCCGCAUGGUAGAACUAUUAAAGAAUUUCGGUCAUCGAUGGGGAUGCGUUCCAUUAGCUUGUUGGCGGGGUAACGGCCCACCAAGGCAUCGAUGGAUAGGGGUUCUGAGAGGAAGGUCCCCCACAUUGGAACUGAGACACGGUCCAAACUCCUACGGGAGGCAGCAG
Molecule: ribosomal RNA, 265 nt
Filed under: uncultured bacterium
Lineage: Bacteria
Description: partial 16S ribosomal RNA
Rfam family: Bacterial small subunit ribosomal RNA
Source: RNAcentral